GGAUUCCCCUAGUACUGCGAGUGAAGCGGGAAAAGCUCAAAUUUAAAAUCUGGUGGCCUCUGGUCAUCCGAGUUGUAAUUUAGAGAAGCGUCUUCCGCGCUGGACCAUGCACAAGUCUCCUGGAAUGGAGCGUCAUAGAGGGUGAGAAUCCCGUCUUUGGCAUGGAUGCACCAGGGCUUCUGUGAUGCGCUCUCAAAGAGUCGAGUUGUUUGGGAAUGCAGCUCAAAAUGGGUGGUGAACUCCAUCUAAAGCUAAAUAUUGGCGAGAGACCGAUAGCGAACAAGUACCGUGAGGGAAAGAUGAAAAGCACUUUGGAAAGAGAGUGAAACAGUACGUGAAAUUGUUGAAAGGGAAACGCUUGAAGUCAGUCGCGUCGACCGAGACUCAGCCUCGCCUUGGCUUGGUGUACUUCUCGGCUGACGGGUCAGUGUCAAUUUUGGGCCUCGGAUAAUGACAAGGGAAAGGUGGCACCUUUAUAGGUGUGUUAUAGUCUCCUGUCGGAUGCGAGGGUCGGGAUUGAGGAACUCAGCACGCGCCUUUUGGUGUCGGGGCUUCGGCCUACGCUACGUGCUUAGGAUGCUGGCAUAAUGGCUUUAAACGACCCGUCUUGAAACACGGACCAAGGAGUCUAACAUGCCCGCGAGUGUUCGGGUGGAAAACCCGUGCGCGUAAUGAAAGUAAAAGUUGGGACCUCUGUCGUGGAGAGCACCGACGCCCGGACCAGACCUUCUGUGACGGAUCUGCGGUAGAGCGUGCAUGUUGGGACCCGAAAGAUGGUGAACUAUGCCUGAAUAGGGUGAAGCCAGAGGAAACUCUGGUGGAGGCUCGUAGCGAUUCUGACGUGCAAAAU
Molecule: ribosomal RNA, 850 nt
Filed under: uncultured Russula
Lineage: Eukaryota; Fungi; Basidiomycota; Agaricomycetes; Russulales; Russulaceae
Description: eukaryotic LSU rRNA
Rfam family: Eukaryotic large subunit ribosomal RNA
Source: RNAcentral